RNAcentral lists this long non-coding RNA (1548 nucleotides) under Olea europaea (common olive). Its description in RNAcentral is "long non-coding RNA (OEUR_LNC011523)". The record is from RNAcentral. Lineage: Eukaryota; Viridiplantae; Streptophyta; Magnoliopsida; Lamiales; Oleaceae.
AACACUCCAAUUUGAUUGAUGAAACCGUUGCAGCGAGUGAGAUCUCAUAGUCCGCUGUAAACUAGGAUAAGAACCCAUCCUAAUGCAACACGUGUAAUCUACAGUUACUUGAAAGAUACACAAACUCGAAGCUUUUAUUUACAGAACCAAAUUUUACAUAUGCUGCACCAAUUUACAACUUAUAAUGCACAAUUUACAAGAACUGAUACUGUGGUUUUGUCAAUAAACUACCCAACAUAUAGCUAUUGACUUUUACACUACACAACAGUUUAAAAACACGCCACCUUCAAUAGUGUUGAUCUGCGUUUUUAUGUAUAUUUGAUUUUCAUUCAUUCAUUAGCAAGAAACAAAGGAGGAGAAAGAAAGAUGAAUUUUUUCUCAUAUUUCAACAGGAUUUUCCAUGGCCACCCUUCUGCCUCCAAAUUUUUUGUUAUUAGUUCUCUCAGGUUUCAGUUUGAUCCUAGCAUUUAGUAUUUCGCUCUUUAUAUGUAUUUGCUUAGAUGUAUUGAUUCAUAUCCUGUGGUUUAUUUAUAUGGAGUGUUUCCCCAAGGAUCCAUUUUUUGUUAAUUUUCUAUAGCUUGCUUCAAUUUCGUAAUUGUGAUGAACUUGAUCAUCUUUAUGUCCUGGGAUUUCAGGUUCAUUUGGUUCCCUUGGUUUAGAAGUUUAUCUAUGUAACUCCUUGUUUUUCUUUUGUGUACUAGUUUUUAUUACAAAUCCUUUGUGGGUUUUCCAGUUUGGUUCUAUAUAUAUGUGGAUAUGAUGUGCUCUGGUUUAUGGGUUCAAAAUGAUGGGGUGAUUUAUCGGAAUUAUAAGUUUCGUGUCUAUUUGAUUGUAUGAAAAUAUUGUUUCUUUACUGAUUUGAAACGUGUGACUGUGAGAAACAUAUUUUGUUAAUGAAAUAGUAACUUCAAGCCUGUUAAUUAAUUAAUUUUCGUUUCAAGUUUUUAUUACUCAAGAUUCAAGACUAUUUCAAAAGUAUUGUCAUAAGUUAGUGUGGUCCUCUGCCAAUAUUGAAAUCAGAUUCAUCCAAUUUGUGCAGUUAGUUGAAUGUAUUCAUGGUGAGAGUGUGCUAUUAGUCAGCAUUUUGACAAAUUGUUCAUAAAUUGAUGGUGGAAUGCCUUACAUUGUGAUCUUCGUUAGUUCCCUUUUGAUAUUAUGCUACCAGGACAAGAAGAAAGGGGGAUUAGUUGUUUUUUUGUGCGGUUUCAAAGAAGUUGAAGGUGCCAAACAAUUAAAACUUACACCAGGAUAAGGAGAUCACAUUUGCUCCAAGGAAUUCUCCAUUAUUUAUCUAACUAUAAUUGUUAGGACUAGAUUUUUUUCAAUUACUUUUUCGAAUGAAUUUGUGAAUCUCUACCUACUCGUAUUUCAAAAUUCCUAUUCAGUGAACAGUAGAGAUGCAAAUUUUGUCAGAAACAGACUACGAGGACUUCCGUUCUUCAUAUAUGUUAAUUUAAUUUUUGUAAAAUUAAACUUUUUGUGCUAUGACCCACCAAUUGAAUGUAGAUUCUAAAGAACAUUUUGUCACCAUUUAGUGAUAAGAAUCUG